CCUACGGGGUGCAGCAGUGAGGAAUAUUGGUCAAUGGGCGAGAGCCUGAACCAGCCAAGUCGCGUGAGGGAGUACUGCCCUAUGGGUUGUAAACCUCUUUUGUCGGGGAGCAAAAGCCGGACGUGUCCGGCUGUGAGAGUACCCGAAGAAAAAGCAUCGGCUAACUCCGUGCCAGCAGCCGCGGUAAUACGGAGGAUGCGAGCGUUAUCCGGAUUUAUUGGGUUUAAAGGGUGCGCAGUCGGAUUUUUAAGUCAGCGGUAAAAUCGUGGGGCUCAACCCCAUCCAGCCGUUGAAACUGGGGAUCUAGAGUGUGCGAGAGGUAUGCGGAAUGCGUGGUGUAGCGGUGAAAUGCAUAGAUAUCACGCAGAACCCCGAUUGCGAAGGCAGCAUACCGGUGCACAACUGACGCUCAGGCACGAAAGCGUGGGUAUCGAACAGGAUUAGAUACCCUAGUAGUC
RNAcentral lists this ribosomal RNA (458 nucleotides) under uncultured bacterium. Its description in RNAcentral is "partial 16S ribosomal RNA". It matches the Rfam family "Bacterial small subunit ribosomal RNA", at positions 338 to 795 of the family's 1533-position model. The record is from RNAcentral.